Molecule: long non-coding RNA, 1986 nt
Filed under: Medicago truncatula (barrel medic)
Lineage: Eukaryota; Viridiplantae; Streptophyta; Magnoliopsida; Fabales; Fabaceae
Description: long non-coding RNA (MTRU_LNC005238)
Source: RNAcentral
CCGUCUUUGUUUACACUUAUGGUUUCAUGCCAAGUAAGGGAGAGAAGUUCAGAUAUGGUGCCAAGUAAGAUAGAGAAAAAUUGGAGGACUGUGCUUUGAGAAAAAGAUUUUCUAUCUGACUUGACUUGGGUGAAGUGCAUAUAAAUAAAGCAUCUUAUCCUAUAGUGCCAUUUAAGGCAGCAUCCUUUUUGUACUUCAGGGCUAAGGCAGCACUUUUUUUCCCUUAUUAGUAUAGAUAUCAACAUUCAAAUUGACACCUUCUAAUAGGGCUGGACAAAAUAUCCAAAUCCACCCGAAUCCGUGCAAACCGGCCCAUAAAAAAUCGAAGCGGGCGGAUUGAGUCGGUUGGCGGGUCACACGGGUAGAAAAAAACGGAUUAAGGUGGAUACAAGUGGAUCGGUUCGGAUGCCAAUAUUUAGACCAUCGGUGCCCACACCCGUCCGAUUAUAUGUAGUAGUACAAUGCUUACAGCCUUAAUCGUUGAUUCACAGGGUAUAUGGUUCAGUGCACUAAUCAAUGCUAUACUAGAAACUAAAAAUAAGAGAAAUUUAAUAAUCUAUAAAUUUUAAUUAUUAGAGCAGUUGACUAGCUGUUAUCUACUCUACCUAUACAUAUUAUAAUUAAAUAAAAUUAAAAUGAAACGGUUCCACUUUAAUACAUUAAAUUAUUUCUUUUUAUAAUUUUUUUGUCCCAUUGAGAUAACAUAUCCUCACACUCUCUCUUCCUUCUUCAAGUUUUAAGUUCUUUUUAUCACUUUUCUUUAUGUUAUAUGUUUCUCUUCCUUUCCAAUUUUUAUAGAUCUCUCAGUUCUCAGUUUGAAAUGGUUGUUUAGAUACCAAUUUGAUGCUGCUUCAGCAUGAAAGCUAUGAGCAUAUGUUGAAACUGCAACGGAUAUGUUACCAUCAUAGUUGCAACCGCUCUGAUGCGGCGGUUCCAAGCUCUUUGAAUCUGAAUAGUGACUCUCCUUUUUCUUUUUUUCCUUCUUCUUCUACACCCGUAUGUAACCACCCGACCCACCCGCUAACCGUUCAACCCGUCAUCCGACAAAUCCGAUCAUUGCACUGGACGGAAAUGGGUUGUUAUUUGUCAACCGAGGAUUCGAUCGGAUUGACGAAAACGGACAGUAAAAAAAAAAAACAGACCGAAAACGUCAAUCCGAUCGAAUCCACGGUUGACAAAUAACAACCCAUUUCCGUCCAGUGCAAUGAUCGGAUUUGUCGGAUGACGGGUUGAACGGUUAGCGGGUGGGUCGGGUGGUUACAUACGGGUGUAGAAGAAGAAGGAAAAAAAGAAAAAGGAGAGUCACUAUUCAGAUUCAAAGAGCUUGGAACCGCCGCAUCAGAGCGGUUGCAACUAUGAUGGUAACAUAUCCGUUGCAGUUUCAACAUAUGCUCAUAGCUUUCAUGCUGAAGCAGCAUCAAAUUGGUAUCUAAACAACCAUUUCAAACUGAGAACUGAGAGAUCUAUAAAAAUUGGAAAGGAAGAGAAACAUAUAACAUAAAGAAAAGUGAUAAAAAGAACUUAAAACUUGAAGAAGGAAGAGAGAGUGUGAGGAUAUGUUAUCUCAAUGGGACAAAAAAAUUAUAAAAAGAAAUAAUUUAAUGUAUUAAAGUGGAACCGUUUCAUUUUAAUUUUAUUUAAUUAUAAUAUGUAUAGGUAGAGUAGAUAACAGCUAGUCAACUGCUCUAAUAAUUAAAAUUUAUAGAAUAUUAAAUUUCUCUUAUUUUUAGUUUCUAGUAUAGCAUUGAUUAGUGCACUGAACCAUAUACCCUGUGAAUCAACGAUUAAGGCUGUAAGCAUUGUACUACUACAUAUAAUCGGACGGGUGUGGGCACCGAUGGUCUAAAUAUUGGCAUCCGAACCGAUCCACUUGUAUCCACCUUAAUCCGUUUUUUUCUACCCGUGUGACCCGCCAACCGACUCAAUCCGCCCGCUUUGGUUUUUUAUGGGCCGGUUUGCACGGAUUCGGGCGGAUUUGGAUAUUUU